CCUACGGGAGGCUGCAGUGGGGAAUAUUGAACAAUGGGGGGAACCCUGAUCCAGCCAUGCCGCGUGUGUGAAGAAGGCCCUCGGGUUGUAAAGCACUUUCAGUGAGGAAGAACGCCUGGUGGUUAAUACCCAUCAGGAAAGACAUCACUCACAGAAGAAGCACCGGCUAACUCCGUGCCAGCAGCCGCGGUAAUACGGAGGGUGCGAGCGUUAAUCGGAAUUACUGGGCGUAAAGCGCGCGUAGGUGGCUUGAUAAGCCGGUUGUGAAAGCCCCGGGCUCAACCUGGGAACGGCAUCCGGAACUGUCAAGCUAGAGUGCAGGAGAGGAAGGUAGAAUUCCCGGUGUAGCGGUGAAAUGCGUAGAGAUCGGGAGGAAUACCAGUGGCGAAGGCGGCCUUCUGGACUGACACUGACACUGAGGUGCGAAAGCGUGGGUAGCAAACAGGAUUAGAUACCCCUGUAGUC
Molecule: ribosomal RNA, 465 nt
Filed under: Vreelandella stevensii
Lineage: Bacteria; Pseudomonadati; Pseudomonadota; Gammaproteobacteria; Oceanospirillales; Halomonadaceae
Description: partial 16S ribosomal RNA
Rfam family: Bacterial small subunit ribosomal RNA
Source: RNAcentral